UGAUCGGCCACAUUGGGACUGAGACACGGCCCAAACUCCUACGGGAGGCAGCAGUAGGGAAUCUUCCACAAUGGACGCAAGUCUGAUGGAGCAACGCCGCGUGAGUGAAGAAGGUCUUCGGAUCGUAAAGCUCUGUUGUUGGUGAAGAAGGAUAGAGGCAGUAACUGGUCUUUAUUUGACGGUAAUCAACCAGAAAGUCACGGCUAACUACGUGCCAGCAGCCGCGGUAAUACGUAGGUGGCAAGCGUUGUCCGGAUUUAUUGGGCGUAAAGCGAGCGCAGGCGGUUUGAUAAGUCUGAAGUUAAAGGCUGUGGCUCAACCAUAGUUCGCUUUGGAAACUGUCAAACUUGAGUGCAGAAGGGGAGAGUGGAAUUCCAUGUGUAGCGGUGAAAUGCGUAGAUAUAUGGAAGAACACCAGUGGCGAAGGCGACUCUCUGGUCUGCAACUGACGCUGAGGCUCGAAAGCAUGGGUAGCGAACAGGAUUAGAUACCCUGGUAGUCCAUGCCGUAAACGAUGAGUGCUAAGUGUUGGGAGGUUUCCGCCUCUCAGUGAUGCAGCUAACGCAUUAAGCACUCCGCCUGGGGAGUACGACCGCAAGGUUGAAACUCAAAGGAAUUGACGGGGGCCCGCACAAGCGGUGGAGCAUGUGGUUUAAUUCGAAGCAACGCGAAGAACCUUACCAGGUCUUGACAUCCUGCGCUACACCUAGAGAUAGGUGGUUCCCUUCGGGGACGCAGAGACAGGUGGUGCAUGGCUGUCGUCAGCUCGUGUCGUGAGAUGUUGGGUUAAGUCCCGCAACGAGCGCAACCCUUGUCUUUAGUUGCCAUCAUUAAGUUGGGCACUCUAAAGAGACUGCCGGUGACAAACCGGAGGAAGGUGGGGAUGACGUCAAGUCAUCAUGCCCCUUAUGACCUGGGCUACACACGUGCUACAAUGGGCAGUACAACGAGAAGCGAACCCGCGAGGGUAAGCGGAUCUCUUAAAGCUGUUCUCAGUUCGGACUGCAGGCUGCAACUCGCCUGCACGAAGCUGGAAUCGCUAGUAAUCGCGGAUCAGCACGCCGCGGUGAAUACGUUCCCGGGCCUUGUACACACCGCCCGUCACACCAUGGAAGUCUGCAAUGCCCAAAGUCGGUGAGAUAACCUUUAUAGGAGUCAGCCGCCUAAGGCAGGGCAGAUGACUGGGGUG
RNAcentral lists this ribosomal RNA (1189 nucleotides) under uncultured bacterium. Its description in RNAcentral is "bacterial SSU rRNA". It matches the Rfam family "Bacterial small subunit ribosomal RNA", at positions 301 to 1482 of the family's 1533-position model. The record is from RNAcentral.